This 496-nucleotide ribosomal RNA is filed under the name uncultured bacterium. Its description in RNAcentral is "bacterial SSU rRNA". It matches the Rfam family "Bacterial small subunit ribosomal RNA", at positions 9 to 507 of the family's 1533-position model. The record is from RNAcentral.
CGAGUUUGAUCCUGGCUCAGGAUGAACGCUAGCGGCAGGCUUAACACAUGCAAGUCGAGGGGUAUAGUAGCAAUACUAGAGACCGGCGCACGGGUGCGUAACGCGUAUGCAACCUACCUUUACAGAGGGAUAGCCCAGAGAAAUUUGGAUUAAUACCUCAUAGUGUUAUUAGAUGGCAUCAUUUGAUAACUAAAGUUCCAACGGUAAAAGAUGGGCAUGCGUCCUAUUAGCUAGAUGGUAAGGUAACGGCUUACCAUGGCUACGAUAGGUAGGGGGUCCUGAGAGGGAGAUCCCCCACACUGGUACUGAGACACGGACCAGACUCCUACGGGAGGCAGCAGUGAGGAAUAUUGGACAAUGGGCGCAAGCCUGAUCCAGCCAUGCCGCGUGCAGGAAGAAGCAUCUAUGGUGUGUAAACUGCUUUUGUACGGGAAGAAACACUCCUACGUGUAGGAGCUUGACGGUACCGUAAGAAUAAGGAUCGGCUAACUCCGUG